AAAAACAUGGCCUUUUGAAUAAAAUUGAUAAAAGGUCGGACCUGCCCGGUGAAUAAUUUAACGGCUGCGGUUAUGUACUAAGGUAGCAUGAUAGGUUGCCCUUUAAUUGGGGGCUGGUACGAAUGGUUUGACGGUGGAAUAACUAUGUUUAAAACAUUUAGAGAAGUUGAUUUUUAAGUGAAAAAGCUUAAAUUUUUGUAAAAGAAGAGAAGACCCUAUCGAGCUUAAUUAUUAACAUUUGUUGGUUUAGAUUUAAUUUGGGUUAUAGUAGAAUGCUAGACAUGAUGCUUGUUGAGAAGUUUUGAUGGGGAAGACAAAAAACAAAACGUUUUUAUUUUAAUAUUAGGAUCCAGUUUGAUUGAAAUUAGCAGAAGCUACCGUAGGGAUAACAGGGUAAUAUUUUUCUGAGAGAUCGAAUUGAAGAAGAAGAUUACUACCUCGAUGUUGGAUUAGAGUUUCUUUAUGCUUGCAGGCGGUAUAAGA
RNAcentral lists this ribosomal RNA (483 nucleotides) under Potamocorbula amurensis. Its description in RNAcentral is "Corbula amurensis partial 16S ribosomal RNA". It matches the Rfam family "Bacterial large subunit ribosomal RNA", at positions 1809 to 2570 of the family's 2925-position model. The record is from RNAcentral. Lineage: Eukaryota; Metazoa; Mollusca; Bivalvia; Myida; Corbulidae.